RNAcentral lists this ribosomal RNA (1399 nucleotides) under bacterium. RNAcentral's name for it is "bacterial SSU rRNA". It matches the Rfam family "Bacterial small subunit ribosomal RNA". The record is from RNAcentral.
GUCGAGCGGUAGCACAGAGAGCUUGCUCUCGGGUGACGAGCGGCGGACGGGUGAGUAAUGUCUGGGAAACUGCCUGAUGGAGGGGGAUAACUACUGGAAACGGUAGCUAAUACCGCAUAAUGUCGCAAGACCAAAGUGGGGGACCUUCGGGCCUCAUGCCAUCAGAUGUGCCCAGAUGGGAUUAGCUAGUAGGUGGGGUAACGGCUCACCUAGGCGACGAUCCCUAGCUGGUCUGAGAGGAUGACCAGCCACACUGGAACUGAGACACGGUCCAGACUCCUACGGGAGGCAGCAGUGGGGAAUAUUGCACAAUGGGCGCAAGCCUGAUGCAGCCAUGCCGCGUGUGUGAAGAAGGCCUUCGGGUUGUAAAGCACUUUCAGCGGGGAGGAAGGCGAUAAGGUUAAUAACCUUGUCGAUUGACGUUACCCGCAGAAGAAGCACCGGCUAACUCCGUGCCAGCAGCCGCGGUAAUACGGAGGGUGCAAGCGUUAAUCGGAAUUACUGGGCGUAAAGCGCACGCAGGCGGUCUGUCAAGUCGGAUGUGAAAUCCCCGGGCUCAACCUGGGAACUGCAUUCGAAACUGGCAGGCUAGAGUCUUGUAGAGGGGGGUAGAAUUCCAGGUGUAGCGGUGAAAUGCGUAGAGAUCUGGAGGAAUACCGGUGGCGAAGGCGGCCCCCUGGACAAAGACUGACGCUCAGGUGCGAAAGCGUGGGGAGCAAACAGGAUUAGAUACCCUGGUAGUCCACGCCGUAAACGAUGUCGAUUUGGAGGUUGUGCCCUUGAGGCGUGGCUUCCGGAGCUAACGCGUUAAAUCGACCGCCUGGGGAGUACGGCCGCAAGGUUAAAACUCAAAUGAAUUGACGGGGGCCCGCACAAGCGGUGGAGCAUGUGGUUUAAUUCGAUGCAACGCGAAGAACCUUACCUGGUCUUGACAUCCACAGAACUUUCCAGAGAUGGAUUGGUGCCUUCGGGAACUGUGAGACAGGUGCUGCAUGGCUGUCGUCAGCUCGUGUUGUGAAAUGUUGGGUUAAGUCCCGCAACGAGCGCAACCCUUAUCCUUUGUUGCCAGCGGUCCGGCCGGGAACUCAAAGGAGACUGCCAGUGAUAAACUGGAGGAAGGUGGGGAUGACGUCAAGUCAUCAUGGCCCUUACGACCAGGGCUACACACGUGCUACAAUGGCAUAUACAAAGAGAAGCGACCUCGCGAGAGCAAGCGGACCUCAUAAAGUAUGUCGUAGUCCGGAUUGGAGUCUGCAACUCGACUCCAUGAAGUCGGAAUCGCUAGUAAUCGUAGAUCAGAAUGCUACGGUGAAUACGUUCCCGGGCCUUGUACACACCGCCCGUCACACCAUGGGAGUGGGUUGCAAAAGAAGUAGGUAGCUUAACCUUCGGGAGGGCG